UCAAAGUUACCUAUUUUUUGGGUUAAAUUUGCUCACUGGAAAGUUUAUACAUGGGCAACCCAAAAUUAGGUAGAAAUUUGAACAUGGCGAUUACCCAUAAUUUGAGUUGCUCGCUGUGAACUUCGUGUUGGGUAGGAAUUGAAUAAUGACGUCUACUCAAAUUCAAGUUCAUCGCUUUGUACUUAUAUUUUGGGUAGUCCAUUUCAAACAAAGUAGUAGGUAAUGUUUUUGACAGCCAUUGUUAUUGUUGUGAAUCAAAUUGCAUGAAGUGGCUCUGGAAAAGAAUGGUAAUUAUAAUGCAUAAUGCAAUAAUUUCAAUUAAAAUUAAUGAUUAAUUUAUUUCAGCCUAGAAACUUAGGAUAAAGCAAUUAGCGCUGGAUCUAAAACAUGAGUCGAUGAUGAUCGAGUUGCACUUUUUGUUGCCAACGAACGGAAAACAAAUAAAUAAUUGAAGAAAUUUUUCUCCUCAAAAUAUUUGAUUAUUUCUGCUGCCUCUGCACUCCUUGCUGUCGUUCGAUUCCGUUCACGUGGCUUCGACGUGCUGCCUCGAGGAUCGGCAACUCGUUGGUAGCGAGCCGCGUGGCUUGUUUCGAUAUUCCACCUGUUGCUAUGGGCCUUGGUUGCCUCUAGAUGACCUCGCAUCUGCGUGGUGACUUCAGGAAACUAUUCAGUCAUGUCAAACUGAGGCUUCCAAUAGUCAACACCGGUGAAACAACGUCAUCUCGGUUAUUGACUUCAGAUACAUCGAGCAAUACGGAACAUUUGAACAAGACUGUAGCUUACCCGAGCUCCGAGCCACUACAAUUCCAUUUGACUUCAGUCAUACCGGCUGGAAUAUAAUAUAGAAUUCUGGCUGUCUAAGAGACAAGUAUUUUAAUUGUGCAUUCAUUUUUAUUUGUUUUUUGUUGAUGAUUAAUUCAUUUCAAAUAUAUUUGUAGUUGGAACUGUGGCCACAUUUGCAAUUAUGGUGCCACUGACAUAUGAGCAAGCGUAUGGGGGAUAGACCACUAGUGAAUAAUUGUUCUUAAACCUGAGGGGUAACCACCCAUAUUGAUGGUGGUUUUAAGUGUUUUGUUACCAGCCACCAUCUUGGAUUUCAAAAUGGCGCCAAUCAUCAAUUUUCACUUUCUACUAAUUACUACCUUUCAAAUGACCCUCAUAUUGAUGGUGGUUUUCAGUGUUUUGUGGUAACCGGAAGGCGCCAUCUUGGAUUUCAAAAUGGCACCAAUCAUCGAUUUUUAUCUUCUACUAAUUACUACCUUUCAAAUGACACCCAUAUUGAUGGUGAUUUUUAGUGUUUUGUGGUAACCGGAAACCGCCAUCUUGGAUUUCAAAAUGGCACCAAUCAUCAAUCUUUGCCUCCUACUAAUUACUAACUUUCAAACGACACCCAUAUUGAUGACGGUUUUCAGAGUUUUAUGGUAACAGGAAGCCGCCAUCUUGUAUUUCAAAAUGGUGGCAAUCAUCAAUUUUCGCCUUCUAACAAUUACUACCU
Molecule: long non-coding RNA, 1495 nt
Organism: Topomyia yanbarensis
Lineage: Eukaryota; Metazoa; Arthropoda; Insecta; Diptera; Culicidae
Exons: 4
Source: RefSeq, a predicted model, not a curated record